Long non-coding RNA from Myotis lucifugus (little brown bat), 961 nucleotides. RefSeq lists it as uncharacterized. NCBI's taxonomy places the organism in Eukaryota, Metazoa, Chordata, Mammalia, Chiroptera, Vespertilionidae. The record is from RefSeq and is a predicted model, not a curated record. The transcript is spliced from 2 exons.
AAGGAAAGAGAAAAGCACACUGAGACUCAGAGGAGCUGCGGAAGUAAAGUGCAGAGGUAAAAUGUCCUUGUUGAAGCCCAAAGCAAGCCCGAGGCCGAUAAACUACUCUGCGGCACAUCUGAGUAUAGCUGACCCCUGAACACCUCAGGGGUUUGGUGUGUUGACUCCCCCCCACAGUCAAAAAUCUGCAUAUAAUUGAACUACUAAUAGCCUACUGUUGACCAGCCUUACUAAUAACUUAAAUAGCCGAUUAACACAUAUUUUAUAUGUUAUAUGUAUUAUUCACAGUAUUCUUAGAAUAAAGUAAGCUAGAGUAAAAUGAUACUAAGAAAAUUUUAAGGAAGGCAAAAUACAUUUAUAGCAUUCACUGAAAAAAAUCAUAUAUAAGUAGACCUGUACAGCUCAAACUCAUGUUGAUCAUGGGUCACUGCACUUAUCUUUCCACCAGUUGAUUUAUGUGCUCACCAAAACCAUGAUUGUCCACAAAAUAGUUCAUAUCUGUCAGGAUUGCUAAUGUCAAUACAUAAUAUAAUUAGAUGUUAUGAGGAAAGACAAAGUUCAAAAAUAGAAUGAUUAUUAAUACUUUCAACAAUUAAGAUUUUUUAAAAAAUGUAAGAACAAUAAAAAAAUAAAAUGCUUCAUAGAAACCUGUACAAAUGCUUUGGAACAAUUUGAGAAAGGUAAAUCAUUAAAAAAUCACUGUCAAAUUAGGGCAGUUAGUAACUAUAAAAGAUUUGGGGAAAAAUUGUAAAAUCUAGGAUUUAAAAACUCAGAUUGCUUUUCAAGUGUCUUAAAGUUUUUCUUCCACCAUAAAUGGAAAUUGUAGACAAUGUACAAUGGUUUUGUGCUUUAUGCAAGAAAGAUGAAGUGAACUCCAUUCAUUAAAGCCUUCCCCGAAGUGAAGGUCCUAGCCCUCAGUCAGAAUUCUGGCAAAUAAAUGCACGUCCAUAAGUUAAAAUAA